RNAcentral lists this ribosomal RNA (282 nucleotides) under uncultured bacterium. Its description in RNAcentral is "partial 16S ribosomal RNA". It matches the Rfam family "Bacterial small subunit ribosomal RNA", at positions 338 to 636 of the family's 1533-position model. The record is from RNAcentral.
CCUACGGGGGGCAGCAGUGGGGAAUAUUGCACAAUGGGGGAAACCCUGAUGCAGCAACGCCGCGUGAGUGAGGAAGUAUUUCGGUAUGUAAAGCUCUAUCAGCAGGGAAGAGAAAAGACGGUACCUGACUAAGAAGCCCCGGCUAACUACGUGCCAGCAGCCGCGGUAAUACGUAGGGGGCAAGCGUUAUCCGGAUUUACUGGGUGUAAAGGGAGCGUAGACGGCAAGGCAAGUCAGAAGUGAAAUACCCAGGCUCAACCUGGGGACUGCUUUUGAAACUGU